Varroa destructor (honeybee mite) is the source of this 606-nucleotide long non-coding RNA. The record is from RefSeq and is a predicted model, not a curated record. NCBI's taxonomy places the organism in Eukaryota, Metazoa, Arthropoda, Arachnida, Mesostigmata, Varroidae.
GCUAGAUUUAGCUAGUGCGACCUUAAGGCCUCGGCCUUGUAGGAAAAAAUAGAUAAGGCGGACAGGUUGGAAAGCACAGCGCUCAAGAGUGUAGCAACAUCUAUUAUCUGCGCUGCAAAUCCGCUACGGAUAAAUGCCUGAAUCAGAACGAUGACGCAAAUGAGAAACGCCCUUUUAGAAACGAAUACUGAAGAAAAUUGCUUAUAGUCUACCAUUGACAAGAACGACUUCGCGCAACUGUUUUGCUGUUCGUCGACGAGAACACAUGGGCUGAUUAAUUAGCUGGGCUGUCGCGACAGCUUUACGCAUGGUGACCAGAACGCUCAGCCAGAUACGGAAAUCGCAGAAGAUCAAUAGAGAGAACCACUGAUAGCUCCUUUCCGGUACAGUUUUUCGAUACUGCGCAUGGAUGGACGGUCCUAGUCAUCUUCGCCAGGUAACCGGUACUCUCCUUUCGCUGUUCAGAUUCUGUACACAGCCCUAAAACCGCUGAGGAGCAAACGCUAUUUGACAGCAAUCCUCGAUAAUAUGAAAAAAGAAAGGGUAGAAAAACGUCCCUUGAAGAGAGCAUCACCCCAUGUCGGCCGAAAAUCAGUUUAGAAUAUA